UCGCCCCUACGGGGCGCAGCAGUGGGGAAUAUUGCACAAUGGGGGAAACCCUGAUGCAGCGACGCCGCGUGAGUGAAGAAGUAUUUCGGUAUGUAAAGCUCUAUCAGCAGGGAAGAAAAUGACGGUACCUGACUAAGAAGCCCCGGCUAACUACGUGCCAGCAGCCGCGGUAAUACGUAGGGGGCAAGCGUUAUCCGGAUUUACUGGGUGUAAAGGGAGCGUAGGUGGCAUGGUAAGCCAGAAGUGAAAACCCGG
This 255-nucleotide ribosomal RNA is filed under the name uncultured bacterium. RNAcentral's name for it is "partial 16S ribosomal RNA". It matches the Rfam family "Bacterial small subunit ribosomal RNA", at positions 333 to 605 of the family's 1533-position model. The record is from RNAcentral.